This 496-nucleotide ribosomal RNA is filed under the name uncultured bacterium. RNAcentral's name for it is "partial 16S ribosomal RNA". It matches the Rfam family "Bacterial small subunit ribosomal RNA", at positions 28 to 506 of the family's 1533-position model. The record is from RNAcentral.
GAUGAACGCUGGCGGCGUGCCUAAUACAUGCAAGUCGAGCGAACGGACGAGAAGCUUGCUUCUCUGAUGUUAGCGGCGGACGGGUGAGUAACACGUGGAUAACCUACCUAUAAGACUGGGAUAACUUCGGGAAACCGGAGCUAAUACCGGAUAAUAUUUUGAACCGCAUGGUUCAAAAGUGAAAGACGGUCUUGCUGUCACUUAUAGAUGGAUCCGCGCUGCAUUAGCUAGUUGGUAAGGUAACGGCUUACCAAGGCAACGAUGCAUAGCCGACCUGAGAGGGUGAUCGGCCACACAGGAGCUGAGACACGGUCCAGACUCCGACGGGAGGCAGAGGUGGGGAAUCUACCGCAAUGGGCGAAAGCCUGACGGAGCAACGCCGCGUGAGUGAUGAAGGGCUUCGGGUCGUAAAACGCUGUUAUGAGGGAAGAACAGAUGUGUAAGUAACUGUGCACAUCUUGACGGUACCGAAUCAGAAAGCCACGGCUAACUACGU